This 165-nucleotide ribosomal RNA is filed under the name uncultured bacterium. RNAcentral describes it as "partial 16S rRNA". It matches the Rfam family "Bacterial small subunit ribosomal RNA", at positions 354 to 511 of the family's 1533-position model. The record is from RNAcentral.
UAAGGGAAUCUUCCACAAUGGACGCAAGUCUGAUGGAGCAACGCCGCGUGAGUGAAGAAGGUCUUCGGAUCGUAAAACUCUGUUGUUAGAGAAGAACACGAGUGAGAGUAACUGUUCAUUCGAUGACGGUAUCUAACCAGCAAGUCACGGCUAACUACGUGCCCG